CCUUGUCUUGACCACCAAGACUUUCCUUAGAUGCAAUUUUAAAUAAAUAUUCUGCAGAAGAUCUUCCUCCUCCUCCCUAACGUGAUUUUCCUCUUUCUCCCAUUUAAUCUGCAAAGGAAAUAUACCAAAGAAAUUUAUGAUUAGUCAAUCCCAAUUACUUUGUGAAAUCAAUUACGCAUUACACACCCAUUUCCCACGCUCAAUAACCGCUCCCCAACUCUGCAGAAUCAUCUCCAAAAAUAAAUCCUCAAACAAUUAUAUUAAUCCUCGUACCUUAAUCUCUCCGCCUCACUCUCACAAACGCUCAUCACAAUUCUCACAAGGAGGCAGAGAAAGCAGCAAAAAGAAUCCAUCUUCUUCUCUCUCAAUUCUGUUUCCAUUGAGAGUGGAGACAGAGAGUUGACGAUCGUUGUUCAAGCCACACACACAAUUCAAUCCUCUGCUUGUCUCGAUUUUCCUGUUAACAAGAGGUGAUAUCUCACAAGUGAAUCGUGACCGCAAGGGAAAGAAUGUAAUUUCAGAUUGAGCAAUCGAGGUUGAGCGGCGACGAGCUUGGGGUGGUGUUGAGUCAAACCUUAAUCAUUGUUGGAUUUAUUUUGAACUCCGAUGGGCGUCGUGUCUUCAUACAUGGCGUCACUCUUACUCUUGAAUGCUUCCGCUGAAUUAUGACUAUUUUUCCCCAUUAUGUCUUGAACCCUUUUUCA
This is a long non-coding RNA of Salvia hispanica, 704 nucleotides long. RefSeq lists it as uncharacterized. Lineage: Eukaryota; Viridiplantae; Streptophyta; Magnoliopsida; Lamiales; Lamiaceae. The record is from RefSeq and is a predicted model, not a curated record.